RNAcentral lists this ribosomal RNA (411 nucleotides) under Sympetrum striolatum. RNAcentral describes it as "partial 16S ribosomal RNA". It matches the Rfam family "Archaeal large subunit ribosomal RNA", at positions 1889 to 2551 of the family's 2987-position model. Lineage: Eukaryota; Metazoa; Arthropoda; Insecta; Odonata; Libellulidae. The record is from RNAcentral.
CGCCUGUUUAACAAAAACAUGUCCUUUUGAAUUUAAUUUAAGGUCUGACCUGCCCAGUGAUGAAUUUAACGGCCGCGGUAUACUGACCGUGCAAAGGUAGCAUAAUCAUUAGUCUUUUAAUAGAGGGCUGGAAUGAACGGUUUCACGAGGAACUGACUGUCUCAUUUUAUUUGUUUUAAGAUUUAAUUUUUUAGUUAAAAAGCUAAAAUUUCGUUGGAAGACGAGAAGACCCUAUAGAUCUUUAUAUGAAUUUUUGUAUUUAUUUAUUUAUUAACAUAAUUACAAUAAAAUCGUAUUUUGUUGGGGUGACAAAAAUAUAUAAUCAACUUUUUCAUUUAUUUACCAUUGAUAUAUGAAUAUUAGAUCCAUUAUUAGUGAUUGAUAGACUAAGUUACCUUAGGGAUAACAGCG